RNAcentral lists this ribosomal RNA (465 nucleotides) under uncultured Selenomonas sp. RNAcentral's name for it is "bacterial SSU rRNA". It matches the Rfam family "Bacterial small subunit ribosomal RNA", at positions 338 to 795 of the family's 1533-position model. The record is from RNAcentral. Lineage: Bacteria; Bacillati; Bacillota; Negativicutes; Selenomonadales; Selenomonadaceae.
ACUACGGGUGGCAGCAGUGGGGAAUCUUCCGCAAUGGGCGCAAGCCUGACGGAGCAACGCCGCGUGAGUGAAGAAGGUCUUCGGAUCGUAAAGCUCUGUUGAUGGGGACGAACGUGCCUAAUGCGAAUAGUUUUAGGCAAUGACGGUACCCAUCGAGGAAGCCACGGCUAACUACGUGCCAGCAGCCGCGGUAAUACGUAGGUGGCAAGCGUUGUCCGGAAUCAUUGGGCGUAAAGGGAGCGCAGGCGGGCAUGUAAGUCUUGCUUAAAAGUGCGGGGCUCAACCCCGUGAUGGGAAAGAAACUAUAGGUCUUGAGUACAGGAGAGGAAAGCGGAAUUCCCAGUGUAGCGGUGAAAUGCGUAGAUAUUGGGAGGAACACCAGUGGCGAAGGCGGCUUUCUGGACUGCAACUGACGCUGAGGCUCGAAAGCCAGGGGAGCGAACGGGAUUAGAUACCCUUGUAGUC